Molecule: ribosomal RNA, 458 nt
Filed under: uncultured bacterium
Lineage: Bacteria
Description: partial 16S ribosomal RNA
Rfam family: Bacterial small subunit ribosomal RNA
Source: RNAcentral
CCUACGGGUGGCAGCAGUGGGGAAUAUUGCACAAUGGGGGAAACCCUGAUGCAGCGACGCCGCGUGAGUGAAGAAGUAAUUCGUUACGUAAAGCUCUAUCAGCAGGGAAGAAACACUGACCUUACGGUCAGCAGACGGUACCUGAGUAAGAAGCCCCGGCUAACUACGUGCCAGCAGCCGCGGUAAUACGUAGGGGGCAAGCGUUAUCCGGAUUUACUGGGUGUAAAGGGAGCGUAGACGGCAUGGCAAGUCUGAAGUGAAAGCCCGGGGCUCAACCGCGGGACUGCUUUGGAAACUGUUAAGCUGGAGUGCAGGAGAGGUAAGUGGAAUUCCUAGUGUAGCGGUGAAAUGCGUAGAUAUUAGGAGGAACACCAGUGGCGAAGGCGGCUUACUGGACUGUAACUGACGUUGAGGCUCGAAAGCGUGGGGAGCAAACAGGAUUAGAUACCCCUGUAGUC